GCCUAUGUAGCUCAGUGGUAGAGCACUUCCUUGGUAAGGAAGAGGUCGCGGGUUCAACUCCCGCCAUCGGCUCAA
Molecule: transfer RNA, 75 nt
Filed under: Bacteroidetes bacterium GWC1_47_7
Lineage: Bacteria; Pseudomonadati; Bacteroidota
Also listed under: 4 other names
Description: tRNA-Thr
Rfam family: tRNA
About the family: Transfer RNA (tRNA) molecules are approximately 80 nucleotides in length. Their secondary structure includes four short double-helical elements and three loops (D, anti-codon, and T loops).
Source: RNAcentral